UCCAGACUCCUACGGGAGGCAGCAGUUAGGAAUAUUGGGCAAUGGAGGAAACUCUGACCCAGCAACGCCGCGUGAAGGAGGAAGGUUUUCGGAUUGUAAACUUCUGAUCUGUGGGACGAAGAAAGUGACGGUACCACAGGAGAAAGCCACGGCUAACUACGUGCCAGCAGCCGCGGUAAUACGUAGGGGGCAAGCGUUAUCCGGAUUUACUGGGUGUAAAGGGAGCGUAGACGGCAGCACAAGUCUGGAGUGAAAUGCCGGGGCUUAACCCCGGAACUGCUUUGGAAACUGUGCAGCUAGAGUGCAGGAGAGGUAAGUGGAAUUCCUAGUGUAGCGGUGAAAUGCGUAGAUAUUAGGAGGAACACCAGUGGCGAAGGCGACUUUCUGGACAGUAACUGACGUUGAGGCACGAAAGUGUGGGGAGCAAACAGGAUUAGAUACCCCGGUA
RNAcentral lists this ribosomal RNA (448 nucleotides) under uncultured bacterium. Its description in RNAcentral is "bacterial SSU rRNA". It matches the Rfam family "Bacterial small subunit ribosomal RNA", at positions 330 to 792 of the family's 1533-position model. The record is from RNAcentral.